This 464-nucleotide ribosomal RNA is filed under the name uncultured bacterium. Its description in RNAcentral is "bacterial SSU rRNA". It matches the Rfam family "Bacterial small subunit ribosomal RNA", at positions 28 to 507 of the family's 1533-position model. The record is from RNAcentral.
GAUGAACGCUGGCGGCGUGCCUAAACACAUUCAAGUCGAACGGGCAGUAGCGAUACUGUCAGUGGCGGACGGGUGAGUAAUACAUGAGCAAACCUGCCUUAAAAGAGGGGGAUAACACUGGGAAACCGGUGCUAAUACCGCAUGACGCAUAGAGGAGGCAUCUCCUUUAUGCCAAAAGGAGCAAUCCGCUUUAAGAUGGGCUCAUGUCUGAUUAGAUAGUUGGUAGGGUAACGGCCUACCAAGUCUACGAUCAGUAGCCGGACUGAGAGGUCGGACGGCCACAUUGGAACUGAGAUACGGUCCAGACUCCUACGGGAGGCAGCAGUGGGGAAUAUUGGGCAAUGGGCGAAAGCCUGACCCCAGCGACGCCGCGUGAGGGAAGAAGGUCUUCGGAUUGUAAACCUCUGUUGACAGGGACGAAGGAAGUGACGGUACCUGUUGAGGAAGCCACGGCUAACUACGUG